GAUGAAGAACGUAGCGAAAUGCGAUACGUAAUGUGAAUUGCAGAAUUCAGUGAAUCAUCGAGCCUUUGAACGCACAUUGCGCCCCCUGGUAUUCCGGGGGGCAUGCCUGUCCGAGCGUCAUUGUUGCCCUCAAGCACGGCUUGUGUGUUGGGCCUCCGUCCUCCUCCCGGGGGACGGGCCCGAAAGGCAGCGGCGGCACCGCGUCCGGUCCUCGAGCGUAUGGGGCUUCGUCACCCGCUCUUGUAGGCCCGGCCGGCGCUUGCCGACACAUCAAUCUUUUUUCCAGGUUGACCUCGGAUCAGGUAGGGAUACCCGCUGAACUUAAGCAUAUCAAUAAGCGGAGGA
Molecule: unclassified non-coding RNA, 345 nt
Filed under: soil metagenome
Description: partial contains 5.8S ribosomal RNA, internal transcribed spacer 2, and large subunit ribosomal RNA
Rfam family: 5.8S ribosomal RNA (bases 1-120)
Source: RNAcentral